This 410-nucleotide ribosomal RNA is filed under the name uncultured bacterium. RNAcentral's name for it is "bacterial SSU rRNA". It matches the Rfam family "Bacterial small subunit ribosomal RNA", at positions 355 to 775 of the family's 1533-position model. The record is from RNAcentral.
UCGAGGAUCUUUGGCAAUGAGCGCAAGCUUGACCAAGCGACGCCGCGUGGAUGAUGAAGGCCUUCGGGUUGUAAAAUCCUGUCGAGGGGGACGAAGCCGCAAGGUUGACCGAUCCCUGGAGGAAGGGCGGGCUAAGUUCGUGCCAGCAGCCGCGGUAAGACGAACUGCCCAAACGUUGUUCGGAAUCACUGGGCUUAAAGGGCGCGUAGGCGGCGAUACAAGUCAGGGGUGAAAUCCGGCAGCUCAACUGUCGAAGUGCCUUUGAUACUGUAUCGCUCGAGGGAGGUAGGGGUCUGUGGAACUUCUGGUGGAGCGGUGAAAUGCGUUGAUAUCAGAAGGAACGCCGGUGGCGAAAGCGACGGACUGGACCUUUUCUGACGCUGAGGCGCGAAAGCUAGGGGAGCAAACGG